UGACAGCUGUUUCUCCAUCACACGCUGCUUCUUGUCCAGAGCUCCUGCUGUAGCAUUGGCCUGAAGAGGAAGAACAACAAGGCACAUCAAUGCAGAGAUCCUCAACUUCUCCCUGCAGUCGCUGCUUGGUUUUCUCCAGGCUAGAGCACUUUGACUGGGAGGCCUCCACAGCUUCCUCUGCCACCUGCAGACGUGAUGAAAGUUUUUUCCUGGAAAAGACACAACAGCAACUCUUUACAACAACCCACAGCAGUGCCAGAACCAAUACAAUUAUCCAAGUGAAAUCCCAGAGAAGAUCAGCAGCCGGGCACAGCCAGGACAUUAACCUGCACUCCUCUGUAUGCCUCUAUCACACGGCCAUGAUUAUAUCAGAGCCUCCCCUAUGGAAAGAGUGAACAAAAGUACAAUACUGCAGGAAGGCUAGCAGUCGACAGGCCGAUCGCUCGCUUCCAAGGGAAAAGGGAGCCCCCCCA
Molecule: long non-coding RNA, 473 nt
Organism: Polyodon spathula (Mississippi paddlefish)
Lineage: Eukaryota; Metazoa; Chordata; Actinopteri; Acipenseriformes; Polyodontidae
Exons: 5
Source: RefSeq, a predicted model, not a curated record